UGGGGAAUAUUGCACAAUGGGCGCAAGCCUGAUGCAGCCAUGCCGCGUGUAUGAAGAAGGCCUUCGGGUUGUAAAGUACUUUCAGCGGGGAGGAAGGUGUUGUGGUUAAUAACCACAGCAAUUGACGUUACCAGCAGAAGAAGCACCGGCUAACUCCGUGCCAGCAGCCGCGGUAAUACGGAGGGUGCAAGCGUUAAUCGGAAUUACUGGGCGUAAAGCGCACGCAGGCGGUCUGUCAAGUCGGAUGUGAAAUCCCCGGGCUCAACCUGGGAACUGCAUUCGAAACUGGCAGGCUAGAGUCUUGUAGAGGGGGGUAGAAUUCCAGGUGUAGCGGUGAAAUGCGUAGAGAUCUGGAGGAAUACCGGUGGCGAAGGCGGCCCCCUGGACAAAGACUGACGCUCAGGUGCGAAAGCGUGGGGAGCAAACAGG
RNAcentral lists this ribosomal RNA (429 nucleotides) under Acidobacteriota bacterium. RNAcentral's name for it is "Acidobacteria bacterium partial 16S ribosomal RNA". It matches the Rfam family "Bacterial small subunit ribosomal RNA", at positions 355 to 776 of the family's 1533-position model. The record is from RNAcentral. Lineage: Bacteria; Pseudomonadati; Acidobacteriota.